AAUACUUGGGUGAUAUGUUCAUUAGCUGCAGAUUAUUUUCCUGUGAUUAGAAAUCAAGAAGAUAUACUAAAACAUCUGUAAUGACAAGAAGAGCUAAACUGUAUAUAUGUUUCAUUAGCUUUCUAGUAUACACUACUUAUUUUACGUUAAAACUUACUAUAAGUAAAAUUAUUUAAGCUAUAUGAUCGGUUCACUUAGGCUAUGGUUUACUGGUCUAUUUCAGGUAUGCUUUCCAAUACAGGCUUCCGGUAACCUUUAUCUUCUGAUGUAUCGACUGUUUCCACUCUCUGUUGAUCCUGAAGCUGAGAAAUCAUAGAAUCAACUGAAACUCCUUCCUUCUGUAGCAUUUCUUGCAGUUCUUGCUUACUGAUGACCAACUUGAUUCUUACUACUCUGUUUUCUUUCUUAUCUUCAUCUUCUGGAAUUGAAAAUCUUACUUUCUUCUUAGCUUUUGGGGAUGGCAAAGGAAGAGGUACAAGAUAGUACAAGUUACCACCAAGCAAUUUGGUAUCUGGCAGGAGAUGCUGAAAAGCCUGAAGUGAAUCGGAUAUUGCAUGACCAGAAAAAUCUGAUAGAACUUGCUGAACUCUGAUCGGUGCUUUAUAUUCAAGGAUCUUCCCAUCUGGUUUCAUGACCUUGAUAAGCUUUUCCUGCAGGACUAAGCAAUUCCCCAUGGUUUAAUUUCUAUUAGUGAUAGCUUUAGCGCAAAA
This 710-nucleotide unclassified non-coding RNA is filed under the name Hevea brasiliensis (rubber tree). The record is from RNAcentral. Lineage: Eukaryota; Viridiplantae; Streptophyta; Magnoliopsida; Malpighiales; Euphorbiaceae.